AUCCAGAUGACGAGUUCCAAAUGGGACGAAUUUCUCAUCCUGGAU
RNAcentral lists this non-coding RNA (45 nucleotides) under Trichobilharzia regenti. Lineage: Eukaryota; Metazoa; Platyhelminthes; Trematoda; Strigeidida; Schistosomatidae. The record is from RNAcentral.